Molecule: ribosomal RNA, 406 nt
Filed under: uncultured bacterium
Lineage: Bacteria
Description: partial 16S ribosomal RNA
Rfam family: Bacterial small subunit ribosomal RNA
Source: RNAcentral
GAUGAACGCUGGCGGCAUGCCUAAUACAUGCAAGUCGAACGAGUGGCGGACGGGUGAGUAAUGUCUGGGAAACUGCCCGCUGGAGGGGGAUAACUACUGGAAACGGUAGCUAAUACCGCAUACCAUCGGAUGAGCCCAACUGGGAUUAGCUAGUAGGUGGGGUAACGGCUCACCUAGGCGACGAUCCCUAGCUGGUCUGAGAGGAGGCCCAGCCACACUGGAACUGAGACACGGUCCAGACUCCUGCGGGAGGCAGAGGUGGGGAAUAUUGCACAAUGGGCGAAAGCCUGAUGCAGCCAUGCCGCGUGGAGGAAGAAGGCCUUCGGGUUGUAAAGUACUUUCAGCGAGGAGGCGUUACUCGCAGAAGAAGCACCGGCUAACUCCGUGCCAGCAGCCGCGGUAAUAC